CCUGGCUCCUUCGUCCACCGGGAGCCGCACGUGGCAGCCCCGUGUCCACUCGCGGUCGGGGCAGUGGAAUCUGCGGGGCCGGAGCUGGUAGAAGAUGCAGCGCUUGUGGAUGUCUUCCAGGAGUCUGCCCUUCUGAAUGACUGCAUUCAGGUCGGGAAUCAUUCAGGACAAGAUCAAAAGGCUUCAAAAGGACUUGGAGAGGAGAUGGUGGGACCUCCAGGACAACCCACUGUGGACAGGCUUACAUGGCUUCUUACCCUUCCUACUCCU
This is a long non-coding RNA of Jaculus jaculus (lesser Egyptian jerboa), 270 nucleotides long. RefSeq lists it as uncharacterized. Lineage: Eukaryota; Metazoa; Chordata; Mammalia; Rodentia; Dipodidae. The transcript is spliced from 3 exons. The record is from RefSeq and is a predicted model, not a curated record.